AAGCUUAUUUAGAUAUACAUUAUCACAAGCUUCCUUGAGCCUCUUCACUUUGACUCUCUGGAUUCAACUACAUCUUCAGGCCCUUGCUCCCUGCAUUUUGCAGCAUGAAUUGAAACCGAUUGGUUGACAUUGUUUCCAGACAUUUUCACCAAAAUAUACUGUUAGUGAUGGUAGAUUAUACUUACUAGAGAUAGCCUUUUUCCUUGCAGCACUUAAUAGCUCCAUCAAGCAUUUCUUCAACCCCAUAUUGAAAUUUGAAUCCUGUAUCCAUGAGUUUCUUUGAUGACAAACCAGGUACUUUCAUACCUUGGACUUCUGCUAAGGAA
RNAcentral lists this long non-coding RNA (326 nucleotides) under Theobroma cacao (cacao). RNAcentral's name for it is "long non-coding RNA (TCAC_LNC000634)". The record is from RNAcentral. Lineage: Eukaryota; Viridiplantae; Streptophyta; Magnoliopsida; Malvales; Malvaceae.